GGGGGGGGGGGGGGGGGGGGGGGGGGGGGGCGGGGCGGGCGGCGGGGCGGGGAGGGGGUGGGCGUGCGGGUGGCGAGUGGCGGACGGGUGAGGGAUGCAUCGGAAUCUACUUUUUCGUGGGGGAUAGCGGAGGGAAACUUACGCUAAUACCGCAUACGACCUACGGGUGAAAGCAGGGGAUCUUCGGACCUUGCGCGAUUGAAUGAGCCGAUGUCGGAUUAGCUAGUUGGCGGGGUAAAGGCCCACCAAGGCGACGAUCCGUAGCUGGUCUGAGAGGAGGAUCAGCCACACUGGAACUGAGACACGGUCCAGACUCCUACGGGAGGCAGCAGUGGGGAAUAUUGGACAAUGGGCGCAAGCCUGAUCCAGCCAUACCGCGUGGGUGAAGAAGGCCUUCGGGUUGUAAAGCCCUUUUGUUGGGAAAGAAAAGCAGCAGGUUAAUACCCCGCUGUUCUGACGGUACCCAAAGAAUAAGCACCGGCUAACUUCGUG
This 492-nucleotide ribosomal RNA is filed under the name uncultured bacterium. Its description in RNAcentral is "partial 16S ribosomal RNA". The stretch from base 54 to 492 matches the Rfam family "Bacterial small subunit ribosomal RNA", at positions 38 to 507 of the family's 1533-position model. The record is from RNAcentral.